Molecule: ribosomal RNA, 392 nt
Filed under: uncultured bacterium
Lineage: Bacteria
Description: bacterial SSU rRNA
Rfam family: Bacterial small subunit ribosomal RNA
Source: RNAcentral
AUUGAACGCUGGCGGCAUGCCUUACACAUGCAAGUCGAACGUGAAAGGGGGGCAACCCCCGAGUAGAGUGGCGGACGGGUGAGCAACACAUCGGAACGUACCCAGUAGUGGGGGACAACCUCGAGAAAUCGAGGCUAAUACCGCAUACGACCCACGGGUGAAAGCGGGGGACCGCAAGGCCUCGCGCUAUUGGAGCGGCCGAUGUCCGAUUAGCUUGUUGGUGGGGUAACGGCCCACCAAGGCGACGAUCGGUAGCUGGUCUGAGAGGAUGAUCAGCCACACUGGGACUGAGACACGGCCCAGACUCCUACGGGAGGCAGCAGUGGGGAAUUUUGGACAAUGGGGGCAACCCUGAUCCAGCCAUGCCGCGUGCGGGAAGAAGGCCUUCGGUU